Long non-coding RNA from Phaethon lepturus (White-tailed tropicbird), 1664 nucleotides. RefSeq lists it as uncharacterized. The record is from RefSeq and is a predicted model, not a curated record. Lineage: Eukaryota; Metazoa; Chordata; Aves; Phaethontiformes; Phaethontidae. The transcript is spliced from 2 exons.
AGGACCUAUGAGUGGAAUGGGCAUGAAUAUGGGCAUGGAGGGGCAGUGGCACUACAUGUAACCUUCACCUAGGUAACCAAUGGCAAAGCCAGGGGGAAGGCUGCAAAGUAUGCCAGGGGAUUAUGUGUCUCGGGGUAGUCCAAUGGGUAUGAAUAUGGGACAGCCAAGCUAUACCCCACCCCAGAUGCCCCCCCAUCCCGCUCAGCUGCGUCAUGGCCCCCCCAUGCAUACCUACAUUCCUGGACACCCUCACCACCCAGCGAUGAUGAUGCAUGGAGGACCACCCCACCCUGGAAUGCCCAUGUCAGCAUCAAGCCCCACAAUGCUUCAUCCCGGCGAGCCGGCAGUGAGCGGACAAGUGAUGGACAUUCAUGCUCAGUAGCUUAAGGGAAAUACGCGUUGUCUGCAGCGACGGUAGAUUUCAAACAUUGUCUUUCUGCAAUGACUAUGGAGUUCUUGGCGUCAACUUUGGACCAAGGGACGUUCCGAUUCUUCACAGGGACCCUGAAAAGCAGGAAAACACCAACCGAAGUCAACUUCUGGGGACAUGCUAAAUACCUAUAUAAGACAUUAAGAGAACAAAGAGUGAAAUAUUGUAAAAUGCUAUUAUACUGUUAUCCAUAUUACGUUGUUUCUUAUAGAUUUUUUAAAAAAAAUGUGAAAUUUUUCCACACUAUGUGUGUUGUUUCCAUAGCUCUUCACUUCCUCCAGAAGCCUCCUUACAUUAAAAAAAAGAAGCCUUACACUUUUCCUGCAAAUGACAGAAAAGGCUUAUUUGCAGGAUUUUUAGAGCAUUGAAAUAACUAUGUCAGGCAGAAGAAUCUUUCUUCUAUCCUAGGAUUUCAGCCAUGCACACUCUCUCUCUCCCCUCCUCUCUCUCUGUCUGUCUUUCUUCCCUUUCUCUCCCUUUCUCCCCGUCUCUCUCCCUCUCUCUCUUUCUAGCCUGGGGCGUGAAUUUGCAUGUCUAAUUCAUUUACUCACCAUAUUUGAAUUGGCCUGAACAGAUGUAAAUCGGGAAGGAUGGGAAAAACUGCAGUCAUCAACAAUGAUUAAUCAGCUGUUGCAGGCAGUGUCUUAAGGAGACUGGUAGGAGGAAGCAUGGAAACGGAAAGGCAGUGUAUUUGAAGCCUAAUUGUCACAUCAGAGCAUCCUUGUCCCCAUGCAGCAACCACCACCUUGUACAUCACUUCCUGUUUUAUGCAGCUCGAAACAUGGACUGAAGAUUUAUUUUUAAUAUGUUGACUUUCUUUCUGGGCAAGACAUCGGUCAUGUGUGCAUUUCCCCCCCCCCCCCCCAUAGUCCCAUCAUGGAGCAUUUAUGUAUACAUUGUAAAUAAAUUUUGUGCAAAAAGGACUGGAAAAAUGAUCUGUAUUAUUGCAAUUUUUUGUAAAAGUAGCAGUUUGGUAUGAGUUGGCAUGCAUACAGAUUUACUAAGUGGGAUAAGCUAAUUAUACUUUUGUUGUGGUUAAACAAAUGCUUGUUGAUAGCCUUUUUCUAUCAAGAAACCAAGGAGCUAAUUAUUAUUAAUAAUAAUCAUUGCACACUGAGUCUUAGAGUUUCUGAUUGAAACAGUUUGGAUUGUAUAAUAACUCAAAGCCCAGUUGUAGUAGUUUGAGUGCAGUAAUGAAAUCUGAAUCUAAAAUAAAAACAAAUUAUUUUUUGUC